RNAcentral lists this ribosomal RNA (487 nucleotides) under Strigiphilus heterocerus. Its description in RNAcentral is "partial 16S ribosomal RNA". It matches the Rfam family "Bacterial large subunit ribosomal RNA", at positions 1830 to 2596 of the family's 2925-position model. Lineage: Eukaryota; Metazoa; Arthropoda; Insecta; Psocodea; Philopteridae. The record is from RNAcentral.
CUCCUUUCGAGUAAAUAAAAGGUAAGGUCUGCUCAGUGCAAAAGUAAACAGCUGCGGUACUCGACUGUGCUAAGGUAGCAUAAUAAAUUGGCUCUUAAUUGGAGUCUUGAAUGAACGAUCUAAUGAGACUGAGUCUGUCUCUUAUGAAAGAAUAGAAAUUGAAUUCCCCGUAAAAAUGCGUGGAUAUCUGAGAGGGACGAAAAGACCCUGUAGAUCUUUAUUACAUGGGAUAACUGGAAAUGUCUCAAAGUAAUUUAUUUGGGAUGAAACAAGAAAACAAAAGUGAACGUCUGUGAGAAGUAAAGAAACACAGCUCUACUAAUGACCCCUACUAAAGGAUAAUUGGAAUAAGUUACCUCAGGGAUAACAGGAUAAUUCUCUUUGACAGGUCUUAUGUUAAAUGGAGAUUAUUACCUCGAUGUUGAAUUAAGUUUCCUCUACGUGGAGAAAAGUAGUAUUAGGUUGGUCUGUUCGACCAGUAUAAACU